This 24-nucleotide non-coding RNA is filed under the name Arabidopsis thaliana (thale cress). Lineage: Eukaryota; Viridiplantae; Streptophyta; Magnoliopsida; Brassicales; Brassicaceae. The record is from RNAcentral.
AAAGCGGGUCAUUCUUCAGGUGAC